AUGAGUCAACCCUGCCGUCUGCAGCGCUGCAUUCAGGCUGCCCAGGAGGAGACACCUGCCGGUACCAAAAGAGACUCCCUCUCGCUUUUCCCUGCAGCCGUCCUCCUACAGCUGGUAGGUAGAUCUGUCCUGAUUUGUUUGUUCUUUGGUGCAUACCUUUGUGUGUGCCUCUGUUAAAGUGUUUGGUUUGCACAGGCCCAGAGUACCAGGAGGUCUGCAAAGCUCUGUGGGACCUCCCGCUGAAUUGCUGUCUGCUGCUCCGCCAGCCUUUGUGUUGCUUAGUCGCAGGAAUUUUAUUCUGCCUUCCCGAGCAGCACUGGAAACACUGACUGGUAUCAGGUAAUACCUGUCCCCCUGGAGCCCUACAACAAACAGCCUUUUUGGAUGCUAAUUCCCC
RNAcentral lists this long non-coding RNA (397 nucleotides) under Anas platyrhynchos platyrhynchos (common mallard). RNAcentral's name for it is "lncRNA (ENSAPLG00000028998.1)". The record is from RNAcentral. Lineage: Eukaryota; Metazoa; Chordata; Aves; Anseriformes; Anatidae.